CGAGCGGCGGACGGGUGAGUAACGCGUAGGAAUCUACCUAGUAGUGGGGGACAACCAGUGGAAACGCUGGCUAAUACCGCAUACGCCCUACGGGGGAAAGAGGGGGAUCCAUUUAUGGACCUCUUGCUAUUAGAUGAGCCUGCGUCGGAUUAGCUAGUUGGUGGGGUAAAGGCCUACCAAGGCGACGAUCCGUAGCUGGUCUGAGAGGAUGAUCAGCCACACUGGGACUGAGACACGGCCCAGACUCC
This 248-nucleotide ribosomal RNA is filed under the name uncultured bacterium. RNAcentral's name for it is "partial 16S ribosomal RNA". It matches the Rfam family "Bacterial small subunit ribosomal RNA", at positions 92 to 339 of the family's 1533-position model. The record is from RNAcentral.